Molecule: ribosomal RNA, 549 nt
Filed under: uncultured Glomeromycotina
Lineage: Eukaryota; Fungi; Glomeromycota
Description: SSU rRNA
Rfam family: Eukaryotic small subunit ribosomal RNA
Source: RNAcentral
UUGGAGGGCAAGUCUGGUGCCAGCAGCCGCGGUAAUUCCAGCUCCAAUAGCGUAUAUUAAAGUUGUUGCAGUUAAAAAGCUCGUAGUUGAAUUUCGGGGUUAGCAGGUCGGUCGUGCCAUUGGUAUGAACUGGUCUCGCUGAUCCCUCCCUCUUGGCGAACUGUGAUGCCAUUAAUUUGGUGUCGCAGGGAAUCAGGACUGUUACUUUGAAAAAAUUAGAGUGUUUAAAGCAGGCUUUCGCUUGAAUACAUUAGCAUGGAAUAAUGAAAUAGGACGUUCGAUCCUAUUUUGUUGGUUUCUAGGAUUGACGUAAUGAUUAAUAGGGAUAGUUGGGGGCAUUAGUAUUCAAUUGUCAGAGGUGAAAUUCUUGGGUUUAUUGAAGACUAACUACUGCGAAAGCAUUUGCCAAGGAUGUUUUCAUUAAUCAAGAACGAAAGUUAGGGGAUCGAAGACGAUCAGAUACCGUCGUAGUCUUAACCAUAAACUAUGCCGACUAGGGAUCGGAUGAUGUUAAUUUUUUAAUGACUCAUUCGGCGCCUUACGGGAAAC